Molecule: small RNA, 125 nt
Filed under: Marmota monax (woodchuck)
Lineage: Eukaryota; Metazoa; Chordata; Mammalia; Rodentia; Sciuridae
Source: RNAcentral
GCCAGGUGUGGUGGCACAUGCCUGUAAUCCCAGUAGCUCGGGAGGCUGAGGCAGGAAGAUCACGAAUUCAAAGCCAGCCUCAGCAAUAGCGAGGCGCUAAGCAACUUGGUGAGACCCUGUCUCUA